GAUGAACGCUAGCGGCAGGCUUAACACAUGCAAGUCGAGGGGUAUAGUUCUUCGGAAUUAGAGACGGGCGCACGGGUGCGUAACGCGUAUGCAAUCUACCUUUCACAGAGGGAUAGCCCCAGAGAAAUUUGGAUUAAUACCUCAUAGUAUAGCAGUUUCGCAUGAAACCACUAUUAAAGUCACAACGGCAAAAGAUGAGCAUGCGUCCCAUUAGCUAGUUGGUAAGGUAACGGCUUACCAAGGCUACGAUGGGUAGGGGUCCUGAGAGGGAGAUCCCCCCACACUGGUACUGAGACACGGACCAGACUCCUACGGGAGGCAGCAGUGAGGAAUAUUGGACAAUGGGCGC
RNAcentral lists this ribosomal RNA (349 nucleotides) under uncultured bacterium. Its description in RNAcentral is "bacterial SSU rRNA". It matches the Rfam family "Bacterial small subunit ribosomal RNA", at positions 28 to 378 of the family's 1533-position model. The record is from RNAcentral.